ACGGGGCUCACACAAGCGGUGGAGCAUGUGGAUUAAUUCGAAGCAACGCGCAGAACCUUACCUGGGUUUGACAUGCUUGGAUGCCUUCCUGGAACAGGGUAGGUUGCCCUUCGGGGUGAAACUUGCACAGGUGCUGCAUGGCUGUCGUCAGCUCGUGUCGUGAGAUGUCGGGUUAAGUCCUUUAACGAGCGAAACCCUUACCGUUAGUUGCCAUCAGGUUAUGCUGGGAACUCUAACGGGACUGCCGGUGUUAAACCGGAGGAAGGUGGGGAUGACGUCAAGUCCUCAUGGCCUUUAUGCCCAGGGCUUCACACGUGCUACAAUGGCAACUACAGAGCGACGCGAGACCGCGAGGUGGAGCAAAUCGCAAAAAAGUUGCCCCAGUUCAGAUUGCAGGCUGCAACUCGCCUGCAUGAAGUUGGAGUUGCUAGUAAACGCAGGUCAGCCAUACUGCGUUGAAUACGUUCCCGGGGCUU
RNAcentral lists this ribosomal RNA (476 nucleotides) under uncultured Phycisphaerae bacterium. RNAcentral describes it as "bacterial SSU rRNA". It matches the Rfam family "Bacterial small subunit ribosomal RNA", at positions 913 to 1382 of the family's 1533-position model. The record is from RNAcentral. Lineage: Bacteria; Pseudomonadati; Planctomycetota; Phycisphaerae.